This is a long non-coding RNA of Canis lupus familiaris (dog), 1593 nucleotides long. RefSeq lists it as uncharacterized. The transcript has 3 exons. The record is from RefSeq and is a predicted model, not a curated record. Lineage: Eukaryota; Metazoa; Chordata; Mammalia; Carnivora; Canidae.
GGGACUUUGCUGAGAGAAUGCGGCGCCGGGUGUCUGGGGUCCUGGGUUUGAGUCCCAUCCUCACAUGUGACUCCCGACUUCUCCGAGUCUCCCUUUGGGCAUCUGUAAAAUGCAACUUUGAUCUUCACAUUUCCUUCCAGCUAAAAUAUGUUAAGUGCUCAAACUUUGAGACAGAAAGGAUGAAGAGGUGACCAGAGGCACCAAACGCCAGUUCUUUGCAGGUUUUCCGAGGGAGAACACUGUACCCCGUAAUGCCUGGCCUACCUGAGGCCGGGCAAGUGACUUUUUGAUAAGGGACCAGCGACAGUGUGGGAACUGAAGAAGAUGCUCCCCGGAGCUGAGAGUCUGCUGUGGCAUCUGCAACAAGGAGGGCAGUUCCUGACCUAUUUCCUGCUCUGGCUCUCCUCUGAUGAGAAUGCCUGAGCCCAGGGCAGCGCCUGUGAGAAGGAGCCCCGUGGGACUCACCUGCCCAGCACAACCGGCCCUUUUCUCUCCAAGAGCCCGAGGCCUGAGCUCGGGAGGAGAAACGCCCUGGCUGGUGGCUGGCUGCUGGACCGCGACCACUCCCCAAGCCGCAGCAAACCCGGCAAACCCUUCCUCCAAUUCCAUCGACUCCCAAACAGGCCCCCGAAAACAAUAGCGAAGACUCCACUUUGCGACACGUUAAGUGGUUCAGAGUGGAUGAAGCCACAGCUGAAACCAGCCUCGGGACAUGGCCCCAGACGUUUCCAAAGUCACUUCCAAAUACUACAAUGAAAACAGCUUUUGAAAUGUGGCUUCACAGCGAAUCCCAGAGAAAUAAGAACAGAGAGUUCUCGCUGCCUUCUAACAACGCCCCGCCCUCUCCUGGCAUAAAACAGACAGAAACCAGCACCAGGCCCUCGGGGGCGGCACAUGCACCCCUGCGCACGCUGCGCACUGGCCAGGCCCGGGCCGCCCUUCCGCAAGCAGCUUCCGUUCCCACCUGCGCAGCCCACCCACACCUGGAGACACAGCUCGCGGCUCUCUCGGUUGUAUUUAAGCUCCCCCCCCCCCCCAACACACACCCGCCACAAGGUCCUGUCCCUGUUUGCGCCAGAGCCAGAGACGACAACUAGGAUAACAUGAUGAUGAUGAUGAUGAUGAUGAUGAUGACGACGACGAUGAUGAUGCCCUUUUAAGAAAAGGCAAGUCCUGAGGCGGGCAAGUCGGCGCCCUCCGCCUGCGCAGGCCGGCAGGGCUGUUGGAGCCACUUUUCCAGGCCGUGCAGAGGUCCGGGGGCCGAGGCAGAGUCACGCCGCGGCCAGGAGUCGGGGACGCCCAGGGCAAGCUCGCGGGUCACGUGCUCCCCGGAGCCCUCAAGUGCGCUCGGCCCCGGGUCCCACAUCAACUCCUCUGCAAACAUCGACCUCAGACCCAGAAGCGGCGCUUACCUGUGGGCCCCACUGCAAGGGACCAAAGGGCAAGAGACUCACAAAUGACUCAACGCUUCCUUUCUUCCUCUUAAAGAAACAGAUGCCCAAGGCUGGAUGGCCCUAAGUGAGGAUUCCGUGUAAAGAAAUGGACUUUUAUUGCCUUCCACUAAAAAAAAAAAACAAAAAAACAAAAACUGUA